Molecule: non-coding RNA, 302 nt
Organism: Pelobates cultripes (western spadefoot toad)
Lineage: Eukaryota; Metazoa; Chordata; Amphibia; Anura; Pelobatidae
Source: the annotation of a GenBank genome assembly
AGGUUGCUGUAGUAAAGGAAUAACACAUGAAGAUAUUCUACGUUGUCUCAUGGUAUCCUUCAUGGGUUAAGUAUUUCUUGCGGGGAACUGGACUCCAGUGGGAUAGUUGCCUUCCCUUACACAAGGAUUACAAACUCUGGGUUUGUGAAGGAGAAUCCGGCGAAUUCGUUUUGAUCCAGGUUCAUGAUAAAGAGUUUGUCAGUGGGGGUGAGAUCCAAGGCCUGACGCGUGAACUCCUUAUCAAAGUUAGAGGUAUCUCGCUUGUCCUUCUGUAAGAGGGCAAAGUGUACAAAUCCUUAGUG